GAUGAACGCUGGCGGCGUGCCUAAUACAUGCAAGUCGAGCGAACAGAUGAGGAGCUUGCUCCUCUGACGUUAGCGGCGGACGGGUCAGUAACACGUGGAUAACCUACCUAUAAGACUGGGAUAACUUCGGGAAACCGGAGCUAAUACCGGAUAAUAUAUUGAACCGCAUGGUUCAAUAGUGGAAGACGGUUUUGCUGUCACUUAUAGAUGGAUCCGCGCCGCAUUAGCUAGUUGGUAAGGUAACGGCUUACCAAGGCAACGAUGCGUAGCCGACCUGAGAGGGUGAUCGGCCACACUGGAACUGAGACACGGUCCAGACUCCUACGGGAGGCAGCAGUAGGGAAUCUUCCGCAAUGGGCGAAAGCCUGACGGAGCAACGCCGCGUGAGUGAUGAAGGUCUUCGGAUCGUAAAACUCUGUUAUUAGGGAAGAACAAAUGUGUAAGUAACUAUGCACGUCUUGACGGUACCUAAUCAGAAAGCCACGGCUAACUACGUG
Molecule: ribosomal RNA, 497 nt
Filed under: uncultured bacterium
Lineage: Bacteria
Description: partial 16S ribosomal RNA
Rfam family: Bacterial small subunit ribosomal RNA
Source: RNAcentral